RNAcentral lists this small RNA (210 nucleotides) under Pan troglodytes (chimpanzee). RNAcentral describes it as "processed transcript". The record is from RNAcentral. Lineage: Eukaryota; Metazoa; Chordata; Mammalia; Primates; Hominidae.
GAAGCCGUACAAGUGCUCAGAGUGCAGCAAGGCCUUCAGCCAGAAGCGAGGCCUGGAUGAGCACAAGAGGACGCACACUGGAGAAAAGCCUUUUCAGUGUGAUACAAAUUAAAAGAAAAGGAAGAAAUACUCUGAGAAGAUUAAGAAACCGAAAUUUGUCAUUUAUGCAUUAUGGCUAACUUCGGCUGAUAUUUUGGGGGAAGAAAAAGG